AUUGAACGCUGGCGGCAGGCCUAACACAUGCAAGUCGAGCGGUAGCACAGGGAGCUUGCUCCUGGGUGACGAGCGGCGGACGGGUGAGAAAUGUCUGGGAAACUGCCUGAUGGAGGGGGAUAACUACUGGAAACGGUAGCUAAUACCGCAUAACGUCGCAAGACCAAAGAGGGGGACCUUCGGGCCUCUUGCCAUCAGAUGUGCCCAGAUGGGAUUAGCUAGGAGGUGGGGUAACGGCUCACUUAGGCGACGAUCACUAGCUGGUCUGAGAGGAUGACCAGCCACACUGGAACUGAGACACGGUCCAGACUCCUACGGGAGGCAGCAGUGGGGAAUAUUGCACAAUGGGCGCAAGCCUGAUGCAGCCAUGCCGCGUGUAUGAAGAAGGCCUUCGGGUUGUAAAGUACUUUCAGCGGGGAGGAAGGCGAUAAGGUUAAUAACCUUGUCGAUUGACGUUACCCGCAGAAGAAGCACCGGCUAACUCCGUGCCAGCCGCCGCCGUAA
This 504-nucleotide ribosomal RNA is filed under the name uncultured bacterium. RNAcentral describes it as "partial 16S ribosomal RNA". It matches the Rfam family "Bacterial small subunit ribosomal RNA", at positions 30 to 523 of the family's 1533-position model. The record is from RNAcentral.